UUUGACAUUUUAAAUUAAUUGUUUUCUUUGAAUUGAUCAUGACCAUCAAAUUCAAAUUAAUCUAGAGCUCACAAGUUUUAUCCAUAUGUUACCUUCCUGUCCAAUCAAAAAAUAGAAAUAAUAAUAAUAUUGUUGAAUAAAUAAAAUAAAAAAACAAAUAAAUCCCUCUCAAGUGUGUGGCAACAAAGCAAUCCCUAAUGUCUAGUUGUUGUCAUUGAUCAUCUCUGUAACAAUGAAUCAUAAAAAUGGAAAAUUAGAAAAAAUAAAGAAAAAGCUCUUGAUCAAAUGGAUUGAAUACCCUUAUAACAGAGAAACACUAAACCAAUGAAAAAAAAUGGAUAUUUUUACCAUGAUAUUCUCUCUCUCUCACGGGAUGUAUGGGAUCACAAACACCAUCCACACUAAUACAUACUAUUUUCAUAUUCAAUUUUUUCCACUAUUCACUCUUCAAAAAAAUCACUCAUUUUUAAAGUCCCUCUUCUAAACUUCAAUAAAAGAACAAGUCAGUAACACAAACAUUUUUUUUAUCUCUUCAUCUCUUACACUUUCUCCAUAUCAACAUGAACCAUAAACCAUAAACUUCACCUUAAAUCCUUUAUACACACCAUAAACCUUAACACAUAAAAUCAUCUCUUACAUAUUAACCUCAUCAUCAUCUUUUCAUAAUAACUUCCAGAGUACACAAAUCAUUUUCCAAACACUCUCAACUGAAAUACAUCCUCCAAGAACACUACUCUAAUCAUUAUCCUCUCACUUGUUCAUUUAUCUUUCCAAAGCAACUCACUUCCAUGGUUGAAAACAACUUCAUAACUUUUACUACACAAAUCACAUUUUAC
RNAcentral lists this long non-coding RNA (836 nucleotides) under Lathyrus oleraceus (garden pea). RNAcentral's name for it is "Pisum sativum (pea) long non-coding RNA (PSAT_LNC014394)". The record is from RNAcentral. Lineage: Eukaryota; Viridiplantae; Streptophyta; Magnoliopsida; Fabales; Fabaceae.